ACAUGCUUAUAGCUUAGCGUUAAUGCACCAAAUUUCAUUAGUAAUCUGCAGUUAAGCGUGCUCAGGCUGGAAUAGUACUGGGAUGAGUGAUCGCUCGAGAAGUCCUAGUGUUUUACAUUCC
Picea glauca (white spruce) is the source of this 121-nucleotide non-coding RNA. Lineage: Eukaryota; Viridiplantae; Streptophyta; Pinopsida; Pinales; Pinaceae. The record is from Rfam.